UACGGAGGAUCCAAGCGUUAUCCGGAUUUAUUGGGUUUAAAGGGUGCGUAGGCGGAAUAGUAAGUCAGUGGUGAAAGCCUGUUGCUUAACAACAGAACUGCCAUUGAUACUGCUAAUCUUGAGUACAUUUGAUGUGGGCGGAAUGUGUCAUGUAGCGGUGAAAUGCAUAGAUAUGACACAGAACACCGAUUGCGAAGGCAGCUCACAAAACUGU
This 214-nucleotide ribosomal RNA is filed under the name uncultured bacterium. RNAcentral's name for it is "partial 16S ribosomal RNA". It matches the Rfam family "Bacterial small subunit ribosomal RNA", at positions 524 to 737 of the family's 1533-position model. The record is from RNAcentral.